UGGGGAAUAUUGCACAAUGGGCGCAAGCCUGAUGCAGCCAUGCCGCGUGUAUGAAGAAGGCCUUCGGGUUGUAAAGUACUUUCAGCGAGGAGGAAGGCGUUGUGGUUAAUAACCGCAGCGAUUGACGUUACUCGCAGAAGAAGCACCGGCUAACUCCGUGCCAGCAGCCGCGGUAAUACGGAGGGUGCAAGCGUUAAUCGGAAUUACUGGGCGUAAAGCGCACGCAGGCGGUCUGUCAAGUCGGAUGUGAAAUCCCCGGGCUCAACCUGGGAAAUGCAUCCGAAACUGGCAGGCUAGAGUCUUGUAGAGGGGGGUAGAAUUCCAGGUGUAGCGGUGAAAUGCGUAGAGAUCUGGAGGAAUACCGGUGGCGAAGGCGGCCCCCUGGACAAAGACUGACGCUCAGGUGCGAAAGCGUGGGGAGCAAACA
RNAcentral lists this ribosomal RNA (427 nucleotides) under uncultured bacterium. RNAcentral's name for it is "partial 16S ribosomal RNA". It matches the Rfam family "Bacterial small subunit ribosomal RNA", at positions 355 to 774 of the family's 1533-position model. The record is from RNAcentral.